This 74-nucleotide transfer RNA is filed under the name mine drainage metagenome. Its description in RNAcentral is "tRNA-Thr". It matches the Rfam family "tRNA". From Rfam's summary of the family: Transfer RNA (tRNA) molecules are approximately 80 nucleotides in length. The record is from RNAcentral.
GCCGAAGUAGCUCAGCUGGUAGAGCAGCUGAUUUGUAAUCAGCAGGUCGGGGGUUCGAUUCCCUUCUUCGGCUC